CAUAAAAAUACCCAAAAUACAAACUUUUAGCAUAAAGAAUGAGGAAUCGGGGCGAUGCAAGGUCACCUGUCCUGUGUCUUUGUGUUCUCUCUGAUUAUCUAAGAGCAUCCUCAGUGUGAGUUCAGCUCAGUUACUUCACAGCUCUGCUUUGAUUGGACGGUUCGUUUGAACGGAGCUCUGCAGCACAACCAGCGGUCGAUGUUCAGCAGCAGCGGUUCACUCUGCUGUUCACCUGCUGGAGGAUCAGACCACACAACUCAGAGGCUCCUGAGCAACAUGAUGGACGGAUGAAAUGCUGCAAGUCUCCCAGCAGGAUUAUGGAUCUAAUCUAAGUCCCUCUGAGUUCUCCAUCAGACAUGGUUCUACCAGAAAAACCCUCCAGAACUUCUGCUCCUAAGAAGGUCCAGGAGCAGCGGGCCCUGCGGCACCAGAACCUUCCCUCCCCGGCCCUCUGCUGCGCCUGCGGACUCUGCAUCAUGCUGGCCGGCAUCAACAUCACCCUGGUAGGAGCUUUCGCCUUCAGCACCUUCAUCCCCACCGCCAACCCCCCCAUCAUCAUCGGGCCUCUGCUCCUGCUGCUGGCGCUGGCUUUCUUCUCGGCCUGCUGCGUGGUCAGCAGGAGGCCUCCGGCCCACAUGGCCAGCCGGGCCAAAGGAGGCGAGAAGUGGGGGCUGAUGAGGAUGGGGACGGCGGCUUUCGAGAUGGAGACGAGCGAACACACCCUGCAGGACACGACGGCCGUCCAGCUCAGCCCCACCAACUCCCCCAGCUCCUCCCACAAGUCCAGCUCCAGCCAUGGAGACGCUUCUGCCGCUCUGCCUUCCUGCCAGGAUGGAGCCGGAGAGCUGCUCAUAGCAGAGACGUCUGACGUGAGAGUCGCUGCAGAUAAAGCGACCCUGACCUCUGACACCAAGAAACCCACUUCCACACAGAACUCCUCUGCUACGUAACAUGGACCGUCUACUGCCUGUCUGAGCAUCUGAUCACAGCCGCUCUGUUCUUGUUUCAGAUUAUUGUCUGUUACAGCAUCACCUGUCGGGAUGGAGCUGCAGGGGUGAGCUGAUUAGUCAAUAACUACACCUGCUUUUGUCAUUUUAAGCAAAAAUAUCAAAUGUUUGUCAGUUCUGACUGCAGAGUUUUGUUGCUGUUUUUGUCAAACAUGAUGCUCAGCUGAUUAAUACAUUGGCCUGUGAAAUUAAUCAAAAUUCUUUCCCUUUUUUUCUUACAUUUUACAGAUAAAAUUAUGAAUGAAUUAAUAGAAAUUUCACAGAGCUGCAGGUUUGAUGCUUUUUUUAUAUCACACAUGACCCAUCCAUCCAUCCAGUAUCUAUACACCGCUUAAUCCUCACUAGGGUCAUGGGGGGGGCUGGAGUCUAUCCCAGCUGACUCAGGUGAAGGCAGGGGACACCCUAGACAGGUCACCAGUCUGUCACAGGGCUACAUACAGAGACAAACAAUCACUCUCACAUUCACACCUACGGGCAAUUUAGAAUGAUCAAUUAACCUCAGCAUAUUUUUGGACUGUGGGAGGAAGCCGGAGUACCCGGAGAAAACCCACACAUGCACAGGGAGAACAUGCAAACUCCAUGCAGAAAGAUCCCGGGAAAGCCGGGACGUGAACCAGGGAUCUUCUAGCUGCAAGGUGAAAGUGCUAACCACUACACCACUGUGCAGCUCCUCACACAUGACCAUCAACUGAUUUUUUUUUUUUUUAUAAAACAAGACCUGUGAAUUUCUAAUCUACAUUUCUCACUAUUUCCUGCCAUUUUGCAGACAAACUGAUGAAUAAUUUAAUAGAAAUCUCACAAAGCUGCAGAUCUGAUGCUUUUUCUUGUCACACAUGACCAUAAAGUUUUUUUUUUUUUUUUGACAAAACAAGACCUACUGUGAAAUUAUAACUAUAAUUUCUCACUAUUUUCUGCUAUUUUGCAGAUAAAGUGAUGAAUCGAAAAUCUUAGAGCUGCAGAUAUAUUUUUUGUCACAGACAACCAUAAAGUGAAUAUUUCUGGCAUUUUUUUUAAAGCAAGACUUUCACUGUGUAAUUAAAUCGGCACGUUUUGCUAUUUUCCAACAUUUUUUUCUGGGAAAUAUGAAGGAGUUUGCAGAUUUUAUAAUUUUUUUUGUCACACAUGACCAUGAGGUGAAUAUUUUGGUGUUUUAACAAAUCACAACUUACUGUGAAAUUCUAACUGACAUUUUUCACCAUUUUCUGC
This is a long non-coding RNA of Amphiprion ocellaris (clown anemonefish), 2213 nucleotides long. Lineage: Eukaryota; Metazoa; Chordata; Actinopteri; Pomacentridae. The record is from Ensembl.